Molecule: long non-coding RNA, 645 nt
Filed under: Ananas comosus (pineapple)
Lineage: Eukaryota; Viridiplantae; Streptophyta; Magnoliopsida; Poales; Bromeliaceae
Description: long non-coding RNA (ACOM_LNC021089)
Source: RNAcentral
AAGUUUUUUAAGGAUAAGGGGAGUUAAUAUGUGAUGCUUUUAGAGCAUGGAUAAAGGGAGAUAGAGCAUCGAGGGCUUUCUGCUUUGAUAUUAUUUUUAAUAAUGAGACUUAUGAAUUGACCUAAGCUUUUGAAGGAUAAAGAGAGUUAAUCUGUGAUGCUUUUAGAGUAUGGAGGCUUUCCUGCUUCUCAUUAUUUUUAAUAAUGAGACUUCUUAAUGGACGAUGAACUCUUUUAUAUUUUGUCUAGCAUAUUUAAAGCUUUUAAGAUUCAUAUUGUGUAGUUUUUUUUUUUAUAUUAUUUACCUACUUGGAAGGUUUUUUUUUUUUGUUUUUUGAGAUAUAGGUAGCACGCUACCCGCUUCGUUUAUUUUAUUUAGAAAUAAACUUAGCUGGAAAUGUGAAUCAACUAGGAUUCGAACUUGGGACCUCGGAUACCGACGACCAAGCCCUUUGCCACUUGUUCUAGAGACAGUCGGUUACCUACUUGGAAGGUUGAAAACAAAAAAUUUCAUAAGAAGUGAUGAUAUAUAUCCAUAAAUUUUAAACCAAAGAUAUUGCUCUUAUAUUAGAUGGUAAGAAAAUAUAUAUUUGUCAAAAUUUUAUAUAAAAUACUGAACUUUGGCAAAUGGUUAAGAUUAUAGUAU